Orcinus orca (killer whale) is the source of this 9713-nucleotide long non-coding RNA. RefSeq lists it as uncharacterized. The record is from RefSeq and is a predicted model, not a curated record. The transcript is spliced from 2 exons. Lineage: Eukaryota; Metazoa; Chordata; Mammalia; Artiodactyla; Delphinidae.
ACAUUUGUUUGUAGAUUUUCUGAUGAUGCCCAUUCUAACUGGUAUGAGGUGAUACAUCACUGUAGUUUUGAUUUGCACUUCUCUAAUAAUUAGUGAUGUUUAGCAGCUUUUCAUGUGCUUCUUGGCCAUCUGUAUGUCUUCUUUGGAGAAAUGUCUAUAUAGGUCUUCUGCCCAUUUUUGGAUUGGGUUGUUUGUUGUUUUAAUAUUGAGCUGCAUGAGCUGUUUAUAUAUUUGGGAGAUUAAUCCUUUGUCUGUUGAUUCGUUUGCAAAUAUUUUCUCCCAUUCUAAGGGUUGCCUUUUUGUCUUGUUUAUGGUUUCCCUUGCUGUGCAAAAGCUUUUAAGUUUCAUCAGGUCCCAUUUGUUUAGUUUUGUUUUUAUUUCCAUUAUUCUAGGAGGUGGAUCAAAAAAGAUCUUCCUGUGAUUUAUGUCAAAGAGUGUUCUUCCUAUGUUUUCCUCUAAGAGUUUUAUAGUGUCCAGUCUUACUUUUAGGUCUCUAAUCCAUUUUGAGGUUUUUUUUGUGUAUGGUGUUAGGGAGUGUUCUAAUUUCAUUCUUUCACACGUGGCUGUCCAGUUUUUCCAGCACCACUUAAUGAAGAGACUGUCCUUUCUCCAUUGUAUAUCCUUGCCUCCUUUGUCAUAGAUUAAUUGACCAUAGGUGCGUGGGUUUAUCUCUGGGCUUUCUAUCCUGUUUCAUUGCUCUAUAUUUCUGUUUUUCUGCCAGUACCAUAUUGUCUUGAUUACUGUAGCUUUGUAGUAUAUUCUGAAGUUAGGGAGUCUAAUUCCUCCAGCUCCAUUUUUUUCUCCUCAAGACUGUUUUGGCUGUUUGGGGUCUUUCGUGUCUCCAUGCAAAUUUUAAGAUUUUUUGUUCUAGUUCUGUUAAAAAUGCCAUUGGUAAUUUGAUGGCUCUUUCAUUGAAUCUGUAGAUUCCUUUGGGUAGUAUAGUCAUUUUCACAAUAGAGAUUCUUCCAAUCCAAGAGGAUGGUAUAUCUCGCCAUUUGUUGGUAUCAUCUUUAAUUUCUUUCAACAGUGUCUUUUUUUUUUUUUUUUUUUUUUUUUUUUUGCUGUACGUGGGCCUCUCACUGUUGUGGCCUCUCCUGUUGUGGAGCACAGGCUCCGGACUCGCAGCCUCAGCGGCCAUGGCUCACGGGCCCAGCCGCUCCGCGGCAUGUGGGAUCAUCCCAGAACAGGGCACGAACCCGUGUCCCCUGCAUCGGCAGGCAGACUCUCAACCACUGCGCCACCAGGGAAGCCCUCAACAAUGUCUUAUAGUUUUCUGCAUACAGGUCUUUUGUCUCCCUGGGUAGGUUUAUUCCUAGGUAUUUUAUUCUUUUUGUUGCAGUGGUAAAUGGGAGUGUUUCCUUAAUUUCUCUUUCACAUUUUUCAUCAUUAGUGUAUAAGAAUGCAAGAGAUUUCUGUUCAUUAAUUUUGUAUCCUACAACUUUACCAAAUUCAUUGAUUAGCUCUAGUAGUUUUCUGGUGGCAUCUUUAGGAUUCUCUAUGUACAGUAUCAUGUCAUCUGCAAACAGUGACAGUUUUACUUCUUCUUUUCCAAUUUGUUUUCCUUUCAUUUCUUUUUCUUCUCUGAUUCCCGUGGCUAGGACUUCCAUAACUAUGUUGAAUAAUAGUGGUGAGAGGGGACAUCCUUGUCUUCUUCCUGAUGUUAGAGGAAAUACUUUCAGUUUUUCACCAUUGAGAAUGAUGUUUGUUGUGGGUUUGUCAUAUAUGGCUUUUAUUAUGUUGAGGUAGGUUCCCUCUAUGCCCACUUUCUGGAGAGUUUUUAUCAUAAAUGAUGUUGAAUUUUGUCAAAAGAUUUUUCUGCAUCUAUUGAGAUGAUUAUACGGUUUUUAUUCUUCAGUUUGUUAAUAUGGUGUAUCACAUCGACUGAUGUAUCAAUUUGUUAAUAUGGUGUAUCACAGUGUAUCACAUUGACUGAUUUGCAUAUAUUGAACAAUCCUCGCAUCCCUGGGAUAAAUCCCACUUGAUCAUGGUGUAUGAUCCUUUUAAUGUGGUGUUGGAUUCUGUUUGCUAGUAUUUUGUUGAGGAUUUUUGCAUUUAUAUUCAUCAGUGAUAUUGCUCUAUAAUUUUCUUUUUUGUAGUAUUUUGUCUGGUUUUGGUAUCAGGGUGAUGGUGGCCUCAUAGAUUGAGUUUGGGAGUGUUCCUUCCUGUGCAGUUUUUUGGAAGAGUUUAUGAAGGAUGGGUGUUAGCUCUUCUCUAAAUGUUUGAUAGAAUUCACCUGUGAAGCCAUCUUGUCCUGGGCUUUUGUUUGUUGGAAGAUUUUAAAUCACAGUUUCAAUUUCAUUACUUGUGAUUGGUCUGUUUAUAUUUUCUAUUUCUUCCUCAUUCAGUGUGUUGGAAGGUUAUACCUUUCUAAGGAUUUGUCCAUUUCUUCCAGGUUGUCCAUUUUAUUGGCAUAGAGUUGCUUAUAGUAGUCCCCUCGGAUGCUUUGUAUUUCUGCGGUGUCUGUUGUAACUUCUCCUUUUUCAUUUCUAGUUUUAAGUCCUCUCCCUCUUUUUCUUGAUGAGUCUGGCUAAUGGUUUAUCAAUUUUGUUUAUCUUCUCAAAGAACUAGCCUUUAGUUUUAUUGAUCUUUGCUAUUGUUUUCUUUGUUUCUAUUUCAUUUAUUUCUGCUCAGAUCGUUAUGAUUUCUUUCCUUCUGCUAACUUUGGGUUUUGUUUGUUCUUUCUCUAGUUCCUUUAGAUGUAAGGUUAGAUUGUUUAUUUGAGAUUUUUCUUGUUUCUUGAGGUAGGCUUGUAUAGCUAUAAACUUCCCUCUUAGAACUGCUUUCGCUGCAUCCCAUAGGUUUUGGAUCAUCAUGUUUUCAUUGUCAUUUGUCCCCAGGUAUUUUUUAAUUCCUCUUUGAUUUCUUCAGUGAUCUCGUGGUUAUUUAGUAUCAUAUUGUUUAGCCUCCAUGUGUUUGUGUUUUUACGUUUUUUUUCUGUUGAAUUCAUUUCUAAUCUCAUAGCAUUGUGGUCAGAAAAGAUGCUUGAUAUGAUUUCAAUUUUCUUAAACUUACUGAGGCUUGAUUUGUGACCCAAGAUGUGAUCUAUCCUGGAGAAUGUUCCAUGCGCACUUGAGAAGAGAGUGUAAUCUACUGUUUUUGGAUGGAAUGUCCUAUAAUUAUCAAUUAAAUCGACCUGGUCUAUUGUGUCAUUUAAAGCUUCUGUUCCCUUAUUUAUUUUCGUUUUGGAUGAUCUGUCCAUUGGUAUAAGUGAGGUAUUAAAGUCCCCCACUAUUAUUGUGUUACCGUCGAUUUCCUCUUUUAUAGCUGUUGACAUUUGCCUUAUGUGUUAAGGUGCUCAUAUGUUGGGUGCAUAUAUAUUUAUAUUUGUUAUAUCUUCUUCCUGGAUUGAUCCCUUGAUCAUUAUGUAGUGUCUUUCCUUGUCUCUUGUAACAUUCUUUAUUCUAAAGUCUAUUUUAUCUGAUAUUAGUAUUGCUACUCCAGCUUUCUUUUGAUUUCCAUUUGCAUGGAUUAUCUUUUUUGAUCCCCUCACUUUCAGUCUGAAUGUGUCCCUAAGUGUGAAGUGGGUCUCUUGUAGACAGCAUAUAUAUGGGUCUUGUUUUUGUAUCCAUUCAGCAAGCCUGUGUCUUUUGGUUGGAGCAUUUAAUCCAUUCACGUUUAAGGUAAUUAUCGAUAUGUAUGUUCCUAUUACCAUUUUCUUAAUUGUUUUGGGUUUGUUUUUGGAGGUCCUUUUCUUCUCUUGUGCGUCCCACUUAGAGGAGGUCUUUUAGCAUUUGUUCUGGAGCUGGUUUGGUGGUGCUGCUUUCUCUUAGCUUUUGCUUGUGUGUAAAGCUUUUGAUUUCUCCAUCGUAUCUGAAUGAGAUCCUUGCCGGGUAGAGUAAUCUUGGUUGUAGGGUCUUCCCUUUCAUCACUUUAAGUAUAUCAUGCCACUCCCUUCUGGCUUGUAGAGUUUCUGCUGAGAAAUUAGCUGUUAACCUUAUGGGAGCUCCCUUGUAUAUUAUUUGUCAUUUUUCCCUUGCUGCUUUCAAUAAUUUUUCUUUGUAUUUAAUUUUUGCCAAUUUUAUUACUAUGUGUCUCAGCAUGUUUUUCCUUGGGUUUAUCCUGUAUGGGACUCUCCUGGACUUGGGUGGCUAUUUCCUUUCCCAUGUUAGGGAAGUUUUCAACUCUAAUCUCUUCAGAUACUCUCUCGGGUGCUUUCUCUCUCUCUUCUCCUUCUGGGACCCAUAUAAUGCGAAUGUUGGUGCAUUUAAUGUUGUCCCAGAGGUCUCUUAGGCUGUCUUCAUUUCUUUUCAUUCUUUUUCUUUAUUCUGUUCCGCAGCAGUUUAUUCCACCAUUCUGUCUUUCAGGUCACUUAUCCGUUCUUCUGCCUCAGUUAUUCUGCUCUUGAUUCCUUCUAGUGUAUUUUUCAUUUUAGUUAUUGUAUUGUUCAUCUCUGUUUGUUUGUUCUUUAAUUUUUCUAUGGCUUUAUUAAACCUUUCUUGCAUCUUCUCUGUUUUUGCCUCCAUUGUUUUUCCGAGGUCCUGGAUCAACUUUACUAUCAUUAUUCUGAAUUCUUUUUCUGGAACGUUGCCUAUCUGCACUUCAUUUAGGUUUUUUUCUGGGGUUUUAUGUUGUUCCUUCAUCUGGUACAUAGCCCUCUGCCUUUUCAUCUUGUCUGUCUUUCUGUGAAUGUGGUUUUUGUUCCACAGGCUGCAGGAUUGUAGUUCUUCUGGCUUGUGCUGUCUGCCCUCUGGUGGAUGAGGCUACUUAAGAGGCUUAUGCAAGUUUCCUGAUGGGAGGGACUGGUGGUGGGUAGAGAUGGCUGUUGCUCUGGUAGGCAGAGCUCAGUAUAACUUUAAUCUGAUGGGUGGGGCUGGGUUCCCUCUCUGUUGGUUGUUUGGCCUGAGGCAACGCAACACUGGAGCCUACCCGGGCUCUUUGGUGGGGCUAAUGGCGGACUCUGGGAGGGCUUACACCAAGCAGUACUUCACACAACUUCUGCUGCCAGUUUCCUUGUCUGCACAGUGAACCACAGCCACCCCCCACCUCUGCAGGAGACCCUCCAACACUAGCAGCGUCUUCCUGUCAAUGAUUGUCCAGCAGCUAGUUGUGAUUCUGGUGUUCUCGCAAGAGGGAGUGAGAGCACGUCCUUCUACUCCACCAUCUUGGUUCCAAUCUCUACAAGUAAUUUCUUGAUUAUAGUUAAAGAACAAAAAUGAGAAAGUUUUCAUUAAGCAAUAUACAUCAUUUUACUACAUAUUUUCACAUUUUAAUUGUAGGUUGUCUUGAUAGGAUUAGUAUAUUUUCAUUCUGGAUCCAGGGGUCGUGGCAUGUUGGACAAAAGCUAGAGAGAUUUUAUAUGUUUCCAGGUAGAUUUAGAUUGAGUAUUUUUUCCAUUGGUCAUCUUUGUUAGUAGAUUACCUACAAGGUAGGCUUCUGCUUCAAAUGAGAUUGAAAUCUUCAGGUAUGAGACAGUUGAAGACCUAUUCCCAAGCUCAUAUGCUCAAGAUUGCCACCAAUCUGUAGUCCUUGCUGUGGGAACUGGGACAGAUUUUUAAGAGGUCCCUGACGUUAGGUGAGAGGCUGAAUCCUUUAUCAGGAUUCAUUAGAUGUGCCAGCCUCAUAGUACAGUACACUUCAAAGAAAAGUCUCAUUGUGAAAUUUUAUCUAGUAAAAUACAACUUCAUCUGCCUUAAAUUGUUUUAUUUCAUCAGUGAAAUUGGACUGCUUUUUCUGAAGUAUCUCUUAGCAAUCCUACCGUUGCGGGAUAUGCAUAUUUUUCUGAAAACUUUUUACUUUCAAUUUAGAUGAGGUUGCUGAGUAAGAAAUAAGUAGUAUUUGGUUCACUUCCAAUUAAUCCAUUUAAAAUCUAAUGUGCUACAGUCAAUAGAACUGUUGCUUCUAUGCAAUGAGAAUCCAGUACUAAAGUUAGAUAGCAAAUACAUAGUUUUAUAAAAUGAGAAAUAUACCCCCCCCUUUUUUUUUUUUUUUUUUGCGGUACACGGGCCUCUCACUGUUGUGGCCUCUCCCGUUGCGGAGCACAGGCUCCGGUGGUGCAGGCUCAGCGGCCUUGGCUCACAGGCCUAGCCACUGUGCGGUAUGUGGGAUCUUCACAGGCCGGGGCACAAACCUGUGUCCCCUGCAUCAGCAGGCAGACUCUCAACCACUGCGCCACCAGGGAAGCCCUGUAGUUACUUAAAAAAAAAUUUUUUUUAUUAAUUGAUUUGUUUUAUUUAUUUAUUUAUUUUGGCUGCGCUGCGUCUUCAUUGCUGUGCAUGGGCUUUUCUCUAGUUGCGGCGAGCAGGGGCUACUCUUCAUUGUGGUGCUCGUGCUUCUCAUUGUGGUGACUUCUCUUGUUGUUGAGUGUGGGCUCUAGAUGCGUGGGCUUCAGUAGUUCUGGCACGUGGGCUUAAGUAGUUUUGGCUCAUGGGCUCUAGAGCGCAGGCUCAGUAGUUGUGGUGCCUGGACUUCGUUGCUCCAUGGCAUGUGGGAUCUUCCCUGACCAGGGAUUGAGCCCGUGUCCCCUCCAUUGGCAGGUGGAUUCUUAACCACUGCGCCACCAGGGAAGUCCCCUAUAUAGUUACUUUACCAGUGUUCUUUAGUUCUUUAUAUGGCUUCAAGUUAUUGUCUAGUGUCCUUUCACUUGAGCCUGAAUGACUCCCUUUAGCAUUUCUUUCUUUCUUUUUUUAAAAAUUUAUUUAUUUUUGGCUGCAUUGUGUGUUCAUUGCUGUGUGCAGGCUUUCUCUAGUUUCAGCGAGCAGGGGCUACUCUUCCUUGCACAGGCUUCUCAUCACAGUGGCUUCUCUUGUUGCGGAGCACAGGCUGUAGGUGAGUUGGCUUCAGUAGUUGUAGCAUGCAGGCUCAGUAGUUGUGGCACUCGGGCUUAGUUGCUACAUGGCAUGUGGGAUCUUCCCAGACCAGGGCUCAAACCCUUGUCCCCUGCAUUGGCAGGCGGAUUCUAAUUUCUCUUUCACUAUUGAAGGAUAGUUUUCCCUGAUAUAGAAUUCUUGGGAAUUCUACAGAAAACACUUGUUUUCUUUCAGCACUUUAAACAAUGUCUUACCAUUGCCUUCUGACUUCCAUGGUUUCUAACGAGAGAUUAACUGUUACCUUUUUUGAGGAUCCCUUAUACAUUUCAAGUUGCUUCUCUUGCUGCUUCAUGAGUCUCUCUUUAUCUUUGGCUUUUUAUAAUUUGAUUAUAAUGUGUCUCAGUAUGGAACUCCGCUUUGAGUUCCUUGAGUUUCUUGGAUGUGUAGACUCAUUUCUUUUAUUAAAUUUGGGAAGUUAUUGACGAUUAUUUCUUCAAAUAUUCUUUCUCCAAUUUCUCUUCUUCUGGGGCUCUCAUAAUGUGUAUUUUGGUGCGAUUAACGGUGCCUCACAAGUUUUAUAGGCUGUGUUCAUUUUCUUCAUUCUUUUUCUGUUUCUGCUUCUCAGAUUGCAUAAUUUUUGUAUCCUAUCUUGAAGUUUAGUAAUUCUUUUUUCUCUCUGCUCAGAUCUGCUGUAAACCACUCUGGUGAAUUUUUCAUUUCCGUUUUUGUACUUUUGAGCUCACAAGUGUCUUUUUAAUUCCUUUUUAUAAUUUCUAUCUCUUUAUUGCUCUUCUCCAUUUGUUGAGACAUUGUUUUCCUGGUUUCCUAUAAUUCUUUGUCCACGGUUUCCUUAGUUCUUUGAGCAUAUUUAAAGUCUUUGCUAGUAACUCCAAUGUCUGUAUUUCCUGAGGACAGUUUCUGUUCAUUUCUUCUGUCCUGUGAAUGGGGCAUACUUUCUUGUUUCUUCCCAUGCUUUGUAAUUUUUUGUUUAAAAUUGUAUGUUUUGGAUAUCAUUAUGGUCAAAAAGGAAACAAAAGAAAAAUAUUCUCCAAGUCUUUGGAGAUUAGCUUUGUGUUAGGGCCCUCUGUUAACACUUAUCCAGGCCUUUUACAAUUCUGCUUUAGCCUUCACUUCCUGCUAGUGCUGAGCCUAAAUACUUCCUACUGGCUGAGCCAGCCAGUUAUGAAACCUUAUAGUCUUCUCUGAGCAUGCAUCCUGCCCUGGACCUGUGUGUGGUUUUCUAGAUUCCCCAGUAUAUUUGGAAGCUUUUCAAUGCCCUUAUUCCCCAAAGUUUCUCCACCCAGCUUUUACUCCCUGACUUUCAGCAUUUUUGUUGUGUGCCUCAACUAUUAUAUUUUGCCCCAGGCUAUAGUACUUGUUCAUUUGGCUUUCAGUGUUUUCAGGGAAUGUUCUCCACUUAGUCAUAGCUACUUCCCUGUCCUGAGAGAAUUCUGAGUUAGGCAGAACAAAAAGAUAGACCUCUUGAAUCAGUCCUUCAGGGAACUCAUAGACAUGUCAAAACAGCAUAAUUCCUUUGAAACAAGAUCACUCUUCUCCCUCUGGGACCAGGUACCCACCUUGGGAACAUGCACAGCCGUGUUCAUAUCUGCCAGCACUCCAGGGCAGGGGAGAGUUCUCCUCACCACAGAGUUCUCCUACCGUUUCAGUGGCCUUUCUUUUUCCAGUUAUAUUUUUAGUUGGUUGCUGUAAUAUUUGACUAACUUCCAGAGUUUCAGUAAAGUUGAGUUUGAUAAUAUUUGCCAAGUUAUUGGUGCUUCUUGGGAGGAAAGCCCCCCAAAGUUCCUUCGUCUGCCAUUUUGACUGAGGUCCUCAUAGAAUGAACUAGGUAAUAUCCUCCCCUAUUUGAUUUUCUGGAAGACUUGUGUAGACUUGGCAUUAAUUUUUUCUUACAUGUUUAGUAGAAUUCAUUCAGAAAGCCAUCCAGGCCUGGUGUUUCUUGGUGGGAAAGUUUUAAAAUACAAAUUUACCUUCCUUAAUAGAUAUAGGAAAUAUUCAGGUAAUCUAUCCCUUCUUGAGUGAGCUUUGGCAGUCUUAUUUUUUCUUCUUUUAAUUUUUUAUUGGAGUAUAGUUGAUGGCAGUUUGUGUCUUGGAAGGAAUUUCUCUGUUUCAUCUAAAUUUCAUCUAAAUUGUCAAGUCUGUUCUCAGUAUUUGUUUGAAGACCUAACUUCCCAUUGGUGACUUAAUACUGUUUAUUUCAUUAGUCUUCUCUCAAUGACUUUUCCCCUUAUUCUGGCAUAUUCAAUAUUGCUUUACUCUAUUUCUGGAAGUUUUAUCCAACCAAAUUAUUGUUUUUUAGACCCUCAAAGUCCUCCUUAUAGUCACCCUCUUUGAAUUCUCAGUUAUUUUUCUAAUUUUUCCUUUUCCCAAUUUCUUAUUAGUAACUUCUAAGUCUUUACUUGUGUUAAUGACUUACCAACUAUGAUUUUAACGUUGUUUGGAACUUGUAAUAGAUUUUCUUCAAAAAAAUCAACUUGCAAAUUUUGUAGCCGAACCCAUUUAUCCACUGGGAACUUUCCUGUACCAGCAUAGGUUAGAGUCAGUCAGCAUAGGAUAAUGUAUAAAUUGUGGAGCUAUGCUGCCUGGCCUUUGAUCUUAACUUUGCCAUGUGUCCUAAUUUCUCCUCUGGGCCUCUUUUCUUGCACCUGAAAAAUGGAGGUGAUAAUAGUAUUUACUUCAUAUAAAAAUUAUAUGAGUUAAAACAAUCUAGUACAAAGUUAGAACUCAUCAAUUAUUUACUACUAUUAUUUAUCAACAAUGACUCUGUGUUAAAAAUGGAAACUUCUGGGCUUCCUGGUGGCGCAGUGGUUGAGAGUCCACCUGCUGAUGCAGGGGACACGGGUUCGUGCCCCGGUCUGGGAGGAUCCCACAUGCUGCGGAGCGGCUGGGCCCGUGAGCCACGGCCACUGAGCCUGUGCGUCCGGAGCCUGUGCUCCGCAACGGGAGAGG